This 425-nucleotide transfer-messenger RNA is filed under the name Rickettsiales bacterium. It matches the Rfam family "Alphaproteobacteria transfer-messenger RNA". Rfam says of the family: Bacterial tmRNA, also known as 10Sa RNA or SsrA, is named for its dual tRNA and mRNA-like properties. Its role is to liberate the mRNA from a stalled ribosome. To accomplish this part of the tmRNA is used as a reading frame that ends in a translation stop signal. Lineage: Bacteria; Pseudomonadati; Pseudomonadota; Alphaproteobacteria; Rickettsiales. The record is from RNAcentral.
UUUGAUGGCAAAUUAUUAUAAGUAUAAUAACCUUACAAUGCCAGUUUUUGGCUAUAGUAAUAUAUGUAAUAUAUAAAAAUUGUUUGGACUCGGGGGGCAGAACCCGACGCCUCCACCAGAAAGAUCUUGGGGGCGAAUUAGGCUCGACAGGCAGGGAUAGUAUAUUAUUUUUACUGGGGAAUGUUUUACCUCGCGCGUUAGCGUAAACAAAAUAAAAAGUAAAUGGCACUAUUGUUGCUAAUAAUGUAACGAAACUUGCUGAUGCUGCUAAAGGUCUACGCGAUGGAGUCGUAUCUGUGUUUCAAAACACAGUUACCUCUGCUGUUAGCUUAGCUGUAGCUUAGUUCAAGUGUUUUCAUUAGGGUAUGGAUCUAGCCUUCUAAUAGGUCGGGGUUUAGGGUUUCCUGUCAACAGAAAACCCUAUU